This 492-nucleotide ribosomal RNA is filed under the name uncultured bacterium. Its description in RNAcentral is "partial 16S ribosomal RNA". It matches the Rfam family "Bacterial small subunit ribosomal RNA", at positions 29 to 507 of the family's 1533-position model. The record is from RNAcentral.
AGUGAACGCUGGCGGCAGACCUAACACAUGCAAGUCGAACGGCAGCACAGUAAGAGCUUGCUCUUACGGGUGGCGAGUGGCGGACGGGUGAGGAAUACAUCGGAAUCUACUUUUUCGUGGGGGAUAACGUAGGGAAACUUACGCUAAUACCGCAUACGACCUACGGGUGAAAGCAGGGGAUCUUCGGACCUUGCGCGAUUGAAUGAGCCGAUGUCGGAUUAGCUAGUUGGCGGGGUAAAGGCCCACCAAGGCGACGAUCCGUAGCUGGUCUGAGAGGAUGAUCAGUCACACUGGAACUGAGACACGGUCCAGACUCCUACGGGAGGGAGCAGUGGGGAAUAUUGGACAAUGGGCGCAAGCCUAAUCCAGCCAUACCGCGUGGGUGAAGAAGGCCUUCGGGUUGUAAAGCCCUUUUGUUGGGAAAGAAAAGCAGCAGGUUAAUACCCCGCUGUUCUGACGGUACCCAAAGAAUAAGCACCGGCUAACUUCGUG